GCUGGGCACGGUAGCACGCACCUGUAGUCCCAGCUACUCGGGAGGCUGAGGCUGGAGGAUCGCUUGAGCUCAGGAGUUCUGGGCUGCAGUGCGCUAUGCCGAUCGGGUGUCUGCACUAAGUUCGGCAUCAAUAUGGUGACCUCCCGGGAGCGGGGGACCACCACGUUGCCUAAGGAGGGGUGAACCGGCCCAGGUUGGAAACGGAGCAGGUCAAAACUCCCGUGCUGAUUAGUAGUGGGAUCGCACCUGUGAAUAGCCACUGUACUCCAGCCUGGGCAACAUAGCGAGACCCCGUCU
RNAcentral lists this signal recognition particle RNA (297 nucleotides) under Bos taurus (domestic cattle). RNAcentral describes it as "long non-coding RNA NONBTAT026416". It matches the Rfam family "Metazoan signal recognition particle RNA". From Rfam's summary of the family: The signal recognition particle (SRP) is a universally conserved ribonucleoprotein. The record is from RNAcentral. Lineage: Eukaryota; Metazoa; Chordata; Mammalia; Artiodactyla; Bovidae.